Molecule: ribosomal RNA, 441 nt
Filed under: uncultured bacterium
Lineage: Bacteria
Description: partial 16S ribosomal RNA
Rfam family: Bacterial small subunit ribosomal RNA
Source: RNAcentral
CCUACGGGUGGCAGCAGUCGGGAAUAUUGCGCAAUGGAGGAAACUCUGACGCAGUGACGCCGCGUAUAGGAAGAAGUUUUUCGGAAUGUAAACUAUUGUCGUUAGGGAAGAGAAAGGACAGUACCUAAGGAGGAAGCUCCGGCUAACUACGUGCCAGCAGCCGCGGUAAUACGUAGGUGGCAAGCGUUGUGCGGAUUUACUGGGUGUAAAGGGCGUGCAGCCGGGAAGACAAGUCAGAUGUGAAAUCCCGCGGCUCAACCGCGGAACUGCAUUUGAAACUGUUUUUCUUGAGUACCGGAGAGGUCAUCGGAAUUCCUUGUGUAGCGGUGAAAUGCGUAGAUAUAAGGAAGAACACCAGUGGCGAAGGCGGAUGACUGGACGGCAACUGACGGUGAGGCGCGAAAGCGUGGGGAGCAAACAGGAUUAGAUACCCGUGUAGUC